RNAcentral lists this ribosomal RNA (208 nucleotides) under uncultured bacterium. RNAcentral's name for it is "partial 16S ribosomal RNA". It matches the Rfam family "Bacterial small subunit ribosomal RNA", at positions 568 to 775 of the family's 1533-position model. The record is from RNAcentral.
UACGCAGACGGUUUGGUAGGUCGGGCGUGAAAGCCCUGGGCUCAACCCAGGAAAUGCGCUCGAAACCGCCUCACUCGAGUAUAGGAGAGGAAAGCGGAAUUCCCGGUGUAGAGGUGAAAUUCGUAGAUAUCGGGAGGAACACCAGCGGCGAAGGCGGCUUUCUGGCCUAUUACUGACGUUCAGGUACGAAAGCGUGGGUAGCAAACAG